Molecule: ribosomal RNA, 1343 nt
Filed under: uncultured bacterium
Lineage: Bacteria
Description: 16S ribosomal RNA
Rfam family: Bacterial small subunit ribosomal RNA
Source: RNAcentral
GACGAACGCUGGCGGCGUGCUUAACACAUGCAAGUCGAACGGAAAGGCCCUGCUUUUGUGGGGUGCUCGAGUGGCGAACGGGUGAGUAACACGCGAGUAACCUGCCCUUGACUUUGGGAUAACUUCAGGAAACUGGGGCUAAUACCGGAUAGGAGCUCCUGCUGCAUGGUGGGGGUUGGAAAGUUUCGGCGGUUGGGGAUGGACUCGCGGCUUAUCAGCUUGUUGGUGGGGUAGUGGCUUACCAAGGCUUUGACGGGUAGCCGGCCUGAGAGGGUGACCGGCCACAUUGGGACUGAGAUACGGCCCAGACUCCUACGGGAGGCAGCAGUGGGGAAUAUUGCACAAUGGGCGGAAGCCUGAUGCAGCAACGCCGCGUGCGGGAUGACGGCCUUCGGGUUGUAAACCGCUUUCGCCUGUGACGAAGCGUGAGUGACGGUAAUGGGUAAAGAAGCACCGGCUAACUACGUGCCAGCAGCCGCGGUGAUACGUAGGGUGCGAGCGUUGUCCGGAUUUAUUGGGCGUAAAGGGCUCGUAGGUGGUUGAUCGCGUCGGAAGUGUAAUCUUGGGGCUUAACCCUGAGCGUGCUUUCGAUACGGGUUGACUUGAGGAAGGUAGGGGAGAAUGGAAUUCCUGGUGGAGCGGUGGAAUGCGCAGAUAUCAGGAGGAACACCAGUGGCGAAGGCGGUUCUCUGGGCCUUUCCUGACGCUGAGGAGCGAAAGCGUGGGGAGCGAACAGGCUUAGAUACCCUGGUAGUCCACGCUGUAAACGGUGGGUACUAGGUGUGGGGUCCAUUCCACGGGUUCCGUGCCGUAGCUAACGCUUUAAGUACCCCGCCUGGGGAGUACGGCCGCAAGGCUAAAACUCAAAGGAAUUGACGGGGCCCCGCACAAGCGGCGGAGCAUGCGGAUUAAUUCGAUGCAACGCGUAGAACCUUACCUGGGUUUGACAUGGAUCGGGAGCGCUCAGAGAUGGGUGUGCCUCUUUUGGGGUCGGUUCACAGGUGGUGCAUGGCUGUCGUCAGCUCGUGUCGUGAGAUGUUGGGUUAAGUCCCGCAACGAGCGCAACCCUUGUUCACUGUUGCCAGCACGUUAUGGUGGGGACUCAGUGGAGACCGCCGGGGUCAACUCGGAGGAAGGUGGGGAUGACGUCAAGUCAUCAUGCCCCUUAUGUCCAGGGCUUCACGCAUGCUACAAUGGCUGGUACAGAGAGUGGCGAGCCUGUGAGGGUGAGCGAAUCUCGGAAAGCCGGUCUCAGUUCGGAUUGGGGUCUGCAACUCGACCUCAUGAAGUCGGAGUCGCUAGUAAUCGCAGAUCAGCAACGCUGCGGUGAAUACGUUCCCGGG